RNAcentral lists this ribosomal RNA (491 nucleotides) under uncultured bacterium. RNAcentral describes it as "bacterial SSU rRNA". It matches the Rfam family "Bacterial small subunit ribosomal RNA", at positions 28 to 527 of the family's 1533-position model. The record is from RNAcentral.
GACGAACGCUGGCGGCGUGCUUAACACAUGCAAGUCGAACGGUGACGAGGAGCUUGCUCCUCUGAUCAGUGGCGAACGGGUGAGUAACACGUGAGCAACCUGCCCCAGACUCUGGGAUAACAGUUGGAAACAGCUGCUAAUACCGGAUACGAGACGGAGAGGCAUCUCUACCGUCUGGAAAGUUUUUCGGUCUGGGAUGGACUCGCGGCCUAUCAGCUAGUUGGUGAGGUAAUGGCUCACCAAGGCGACGACGGGUAGCCGGCCUGAGAGGGCGACCGGCCACACUGGGACUGAGACACGGCCCAGACUCCUACGGGAGGCAGCAGUGGGGAAUAUUGCACAAUGGGCGAAAGCCUGAUGCAGCGACGCCGCGUGAGGGAUGACGGGCCUUCGGGUUGUAAACCGUCUUUCAGCAGGGAAGAAGCGGAAAGUGACGGUACCUGCAGAAGAAGACACCGGCUAACUACGUGCCAGCAGCCGCGGUAAUCACG